RNAcentral lists this transfer RNA (64 nucleotides) under Procambarus fallax (deceitful crayfish). Its description in RNAcentral is "tRNA-Asn". Lineage: Eukaryota; Metazoa; Arthropoda; Malacostraca; Decapoda; Cambaridae. The record is from RNAcentral.
UUAAUAGAAACCAAAAAGAGGUAUUCCACUGUUAAUGGAAAAAUUGAAAAUAUUUCCUAUUAAG